This 6654-nucleotide long non-coding RNA is filed under the name Sus scrofa (pig). RNAcentral's name for it is "lncRNA (ENSSSCG00000056786.1)". Lineage: Eukaryota; Metazoa; Chordata; Mammalia; Artiodactyla; Suidae. The record is from RNAcentral.
AUAGAAUGAUGGCCAGGGGAGAAACCUUAGAACUGACUUGGUCCAACCUCUUAAUUAUCAAGUGAGGAGACGGAAGCUCAGAGAAGAGAGGUCCAAGGUCACACAGCAAAGGAAAAAAAAAAAAAAAAAGUCUUAGGAACUUUCCAACCUUCCAUGUGGAUUUCCAUUCCUGGAAACCCCCACGCCCACCCCCACCCCCUGCUCAUCUAAACUGAGCAGAGGGGAUCUGAGGAGAAGAAACAGACUCAGUAACCCUAAGGCUGCAGAUCCUUCAACCUGGGACCCCUUUUCCAAAGAGGAGGAGUUACAGAUGUUUCUGGGAAUAAGGAUUCCUAGCCAUCCCCAUUCCUGCUGGUGAGGGGCUGAAGCUGCUGCAGGCCAGACUCCCAGACUUUCUUCGGUGGCAGCACUUCCUCCCCUGCUUGGCACCUCACAUCAUCUCUCUCCAGAUGAUGCUGGGGCUGGGGCUGGCUGAGCUCCAUUUUCCUUCAUCCCACCGAGUUUGUGAUGCAUUUUGCCUCUAGCUGACCUGAUAGUUCCUUACUCUAUAGGUUCUUGUUAGGUAGAGAAACUUCUAGGGCUUGUCUGAUUUUGUAGGGAGUCCGUGGUUACCCUUAAACCCUUUCUCAAACCUGCCAGGAGUCUGGGGUAAAUGAUAAAGAUGUGUUCCCAUUUUACAGACGGGAAAGUGAAAAUUCAUAGAGGGGCCUCCUACUUGUUUGGUCUUUCAGUUAGUCAUCCAAGAUCAGUAGAAGAGGUUCUUUGAGAGAGGGGGUGAAAGGAGCAAAUGACAACAGGAGCUUUUUUCUAGGGGGGCUUCCACAGACCCCUUCCAGCCUUUUACUCUCCCCAUGGUCAGCAAACCUUUCCAGAGUCUGAUUUCAUUCCCACUUGGUGACAUCAAAGCUGGGUCUCUCAGUGGGGGUGGGAAGAACAGCUGCGUACCCUCCACUCCUCAAGCGUUUUGUCUUGAUUCCCUGCCCUCCCCCCAGUCUGAAGGCUGCUGGCUCAGCGGGCCUCCCGUCGUCUGGGGAGUCUGGGUUUGAGCUGGGGUGAGGUGGUGGCACCAUCGUUAUGGUAACGAGCUGCCAGCUCAUCGUUGCUAAUAACUUGUCAAGUCCCUGGGCUCAAAUGCAGCAUGCCUUCCCACCAGCCCUUCUCCCCAUGUCACAGAAAGAAAAAGUGAGGCUGUGAAGGAGGGGCCUGUGAAUAAGGAAGUCUGAGGAGGUGGGUGGCCUUGUCCUUGGGCUUGUAGCUGGAGAGCUGGGGGGGAGGUCACUUGGGGCCUGAUUUACACGUAUGAUUAUAUAAAUUUGCAUCUGAUUGCCUGGGCUGGUGCAUGUGAAUACACUCAGAACAUACUUGUAUAAACCUGUACAUGCUAGCUGACAUGUUCAUGCGCUUCUACACAGCAGCCCACAUGCAAACAUGCCUCUAGACAUCAGAACAUGCUUGGGCAUGAAUACUGCCUUUACCAUCUGCACAUAAGGCACCCAAGAAAUCUGGGUUUGUGGGGGUGUCCAGGUAUGUGGGUGGGGAUCUGAUCUUUUUCUGAUGCAGCUUCAAAGUGUCUUGUUAACAAAGGGACAGAAUGGUCCCAGGGUUCCUUCUUCCUUCCAGUCAAGAGCUCAGAAUGGGAAUGGGCUCGGGAUGGUGUGGGGGCCCCAAGCUCCCAGCUCCCCAAGGCCCCUGCCUCUGUGCCCUUUGAGCUUAGGUAUUCCCUGCCCCCCCCAACUCCCUGUUCUUUCUCAUCCUCUUCUCUUCCCGUGUGUAAAUAUUAAAGAGCUGAGCCUGCAGGGCUGAUGUAGACAUGGGGAGAGAAUGAAAUUAAAAAGGAUUCCCUCGCCCCCAUCCCGACACCCCCACCCCGCAGUCCCCCCGCUCCUACCUCCUCCCCUCUCCCUUCUCCCCUCCCCUCACUCAGUGCUUCCACAUGUCUCUCCUCCCCCCAGUCCAGAUGGGAGCUGGCUCCUGCAGAAAGGGGGCUCAGAACAGGGUGUGGGGAGCUACCUCUCCUUGCCUCCCCCCACCACAUCUGCCUGCAGGGCUGGGAGCCCCCACGUGAGUAUCUCGUUAAUUUGGGGGGGUGAAGGUUGAGAAGGAAAGUGGAUUUAGAACCAGCUGUGAGUGGCGUGGAGAGGCUCAGGGCUGAAAGAAGGUGGGUGGGGUCCUCUCCCCAGGCUCCCUCAGGGAAGACUCGUGUCUGGGUUUCUUUUCUUUCUUUGGACCUAGAGGGAAGGGAGGAGUUCCAGGUGCCGCCGGUGGAUGGGAGCGAGGGUGGGAGGGGCCGACGAGAGGGGCUUCUGUACUAAAGAGGGUUCGUGGCCGGGUAAGCUUUUCAUUUCUGGCCUCCCAGUUUCUGGCAAUGGGGGGGUCACAGAGUAGCUGGGAGCUGUCCCAGGUGCUGAAUGAGACUCGGAGGGAUUUGCUCCUUUGGAACUGUCCCGGGCAUUGAAUGGGGCUGCAUUGGGGCCCUGAUGAUGGAGAAGCUGCUGGGCAGUGCUGAGGGCUCACUAGAAAAAUUCUCCCAGAUGACCCACUUUCCAAGGACAGAGUCCCUGGAAUGAAAAGACAGAUUUGGGGGUCCUCCCUCUGGUUUUAGGCCUCACAGUUGCUAACGGUAUUGGGGAAAGGGACUCCUUUCCCUAGUAGUGUGGGGGGCAUGGAUGGAGGAAGAUGUUGCAGCUGUGUGCUCUCUUCUGGAUAGUUUUUAGUGCAGUAAGCUUCGGGGUCCUGGCAUCAGCCUUUCUCCUAUGAGGUCUCUGAAGUUCAGGCUGACGGCAGAUCUGGAUUGAGAGAGUUUAGGUUUUGCUGGUUAGGCUGAGCGCAGGAGUUCAGGAGAAUUUGAUUGACCAUUUAGCAUUCCCCCUGCCCACCAGACUUUCUAAUUCAGGACAGGAGGCAGUGAAAUAUUCUGCAAGCCUGUCUCAUGCUUUGCCCACCCCAACCACAGUUUAGAGCAGCAUUUGGGAGAGAUUUUGUUGGGGAGGAAGAUUUCCAAGCAAGGGACUCAAGGAGUGGGUGGGGUUUUUUGGUGCCAUGGAGCAGAGGAGGAGGCUACUAGAGACAGGGCAGUGGGAAAAGAGGAAGAUCUGGGGGAGGGAAAAAAAACACACAACAAGAUUCAGGUUGGGGGAUGGGGUGUGAGUUUCAGUCCUCAGCUCCCUUGUAAAUCUUUCCCCACUAACUCAGGGUCAGGAUCAUCUCUGUUUUCUGGGUUCUUAUGUUCCAUCUUUGUAAACCUGAAGGGAAUAGAGCAAGGAUUUAUUUCUCCAGGUCCCUUCCCUUGUCAUCCCAGGGGGAUGAGAGCCAAAUGUCAGGACAUGCAGAUGAGACUGUGGGGGAACAACAGGCAGGAGGGUAUGGUGGCAGCUUCACCUCCUGUCCCCAAGAGAACAAUCAAAUAUUCAAAUGGCAUCCUUCUCCAGGGGCAAGGAAGGAGAAAGUUUCUGGAUGCUGGACAAAAAUUGGGUGUGUCAGGGAGUUCAAGAAAAGGGGGAGAUAUUUAGGGACUCCAAAGUGAACCAGUCCAUCCCUUUCCAGAUGUGACUUCUAGUUAAUAAGGAGCCCCUCACCCAUCAUGUUUUUGAUGUAGUUCAGCAAAGAUUCCUCCCUUCUCUAGCUGCUUGGGAGGAGCUGAGUUUUCCUAUGCUGUGGGUUCUGGGAGGUGGUGGGUGUGGGUGUGGGUGCCUGUUUGGGGAGGGGAGGUGUUUGUGCUCCACUCAGCUCCCUUGGUUACAUAACAGCUUUGAUAAGACUUUACUUUGGAGCUGCUGCUACUGCCUGAAGCAGUCACCCCUCCGCCCCCACAUGGAAUGUUGGACGUCCACCCCCUUCUCCCUGGCCCCUUGGAGAGUCCUGCUAUUCAGGAUCUAGUGUUCCAGCAGCUGCUUUCUUGCUGGGAGGUGUCGUCAGUUUGCCUCCCUGCUCCCUACCCAGCUCCUGUUUUCUAAAUACUUGCUUCUUUUACUCAUGUGAGUCCAGGCCAGUGGCUCCCCAACCCCCAUUUUUAAGCCUCUAGUUCUGCUUGCUCUUUGGCAGGGCUCUUGGCUGGGGUGGGUAGAGGGUAGGGGGUUUCACUGAAUAUCAUGAAGUUGUCCUCUAGGGAAGGAGAGAGGUUUUAGGGCCCAGAGAUAAUUUUCUUACUGUUCCUUCCUUUGCUCCAAUAGCUGUUUUGGAAUUUGGAAGCAGUGGACCAUACCCAGAGGUAGAACUCCGGCCUUGACAUUUUCUCUUCUUUUCCCCUUGUUGGAUUAAAAAGCUGUGAGAUAUGAGAGAUGGGGCUGCCUGUUGGGUGGGAAAAGGUGCACUUACUCUAAGGGGCACCUACCUCAUUGUUCUCUUGCAUCCCAGGUUGUCUGAGGAAAUAUUGGCUAUUCCAGGCAUGAGACAAAGGGAGAACAGAGUCCUUUUUUGGAAUGACUUGUUUUUUUUCUUCCCCUCUGAGUGGGUAGGAAAGGGGUGUGUCCAGGGAUGGGGUAUAUCCUGUCGAUAAUAGGAAAAACUUUCCAAGAAGAAGUGGGAGACUGGCAAGAGGAGAGAGCAAAUGCAAACUUGUGACAUCACUUGGAGAGAAUGUGAACUUCUAACUUCCUGAAAAGAAUAGAAGCCAGAGGAGGGGAUGAGUAUCUUUGCUACUGCAGUGUAUGUGCCUGUGUAUUUCUGCCUGUGAGUGCGGAUGUGACUGUAUAUAUGUCUAUACAUGUUUGUAUGUUGUAUGAAUGUGUACAAAUUUAUGAGUUUGUGUAUGUGUGGACACAUGUACAUGUGUGUAUAUAUGUAUCACUCUGUGUAUAUAUCUAUGUAUGUAGUGACUAUAAAGGCAAUUACUAAAUUAAACCUCUGUGUGCUCACCCAACAAUGCAUAUAUGUGAGUGUAAGUAUGCAUGUGAACAUACAUGUGGGGACACGUGUAUGCACCCAUGAAUUGACGUACAUAAGUUCAGUCAUUCAUGUGAAUAAAUGUGACAGAAAGAAUGAGAGAGAGAUUCUGACUACACGUUGGGGCUGUCCAAAAGUUCUUUUCACAUAAGCUUGAACUUGAUCCACUCUGAUGCCUGUGACUCUUCUCCAAAAACCAGGCUCCUUGAGGUUUCUCAGAUUAUCCUGUUACAGGGACCCAACUGUUCUCUACCACCACCCAUAUGAAGGGAGUUUCCAGAGGAGACACCUGAAUAGGCCUUGGGAACAACUGAGUGAGGGAGCCGAGCUGAAGGCUGAUCAGAUCAGAUGCUGUGGUGCUCAGGGGUGGAGGUGGGGAAAGAAUUUGGGAGCUCGAAUGUUAAUAUUACAAUGGAGGUUUCAAGAAUCAAGCAGAACAAGUUGGACUUAGUGGAUGAAAGGGCAGGGAUUUUAGGGAGGCCCAGGUGUGUGCCUCAGCCUCCCACAUGUGUGUGUGUGUACUUGUAUAUGUGUGUAUUGCUCGUCUGUGCCUUAAUAUGCGUAUCUCAACACAAAUGCACUUUCUAGCAUGUAUACAGGUGAACAGAUCUACAGAAAUGUACAUACCAACAGAGGGAUUUAUUGACAUGUACAUAGCUGACACACACAUACCUGUAGACGGCGUAUGCAGACCUAUAUGGGCAUGUGCUAACACUGGCCUGAUUACAACCCACGAUGGCAUACAUGUGCACCUCUCUCACCCAAGUUGACAACAGCCUACAGAUAGUCCCUCACCCAGUUCAUCCAUCCAUUCAGUCAGUGUUGAUCAUCCACCUGUGAUGUGCCACAUACUGUGCCGGACACCGGGACGGUCCUUGACCUCAAGUAACUUACAGUCUAGAGGAGGUCAAAGACCUGGAUCCACGUAAGGAGAGUGUUUAUCAGGGCAGUGGGAAUCUAUGGAGGGCUUGGUCAGUUCUGGAGUGGGGAAGGGAGGGGUUCCGUAAAGGAUCCAUAGAAGAGGAGGGCCUUGAGCCAAGGCUCGAACAGGUGUUCACCACAUGGGCAACUGUAGGUAAAGGUGUUUCUGUGACAGGAACUGUCCCAACUGGUCUCCCCACUUCCCCCCUUGCCAGCCCCUCCUCCAGAAAUUCUCCCCACAAAAGCAGCCAGAAUAAGAUGAGAUCAUACCUUUCCAGUGGCUUUCCAUCUCGCUCAGAGAGAAAUCCUAAGUGCUUAGUGGGGCUUGGGUGACAUAAGUGCUGUGUGUAAAAUAGCCUCCAGUGACCUUCCUGAUCUCCGGCGCCACCCCUACAAGCGCUUCCUUCAGUUCCGCAAAGAAGCUGAGCACAGCCUUGCCUUGAGGAGGCUGUUGUAUUAGCGUUUCCCUCAGCCCGAAAUGCUCUCCCCCCAGAUACCCACAUGACUUGCUCCCUCACUUGGUUGAAGUCUUUGCUUCAAAAGUCACUUUUGAGGGGGAAGCCUCCCCCCAUAGUCUACCUUAAGUAGCCCCUUUGUCAUGCUGUCCUCUCACCCCCCCUUUAAGAAACAAUUCAGGAGUUCCUGUCAUGGCGCAAUGGAAACGAAUCUGACUAGGAACCACGAAGUUGCAGGUUCGAUCCCUGGCCUCACUCAGGGGGUUAAGGAGCCAGUGUUGUGGUGAGCUGUGGUUUAGGUCACAGACAUGGCUAAGAUCCCUCAUUGCCAUGGUUGUGGUGUAGGCCGGUGGCUACAGCUCCGAUUUGACCCCUAGCCUGGGAACCUCCAUGUGCC